Molecule: ribosomal RNA, 429 nt
Filed under: Chloroflexota bacterium
Lineage: Bacteria; Bacillati; Chloroflexota
Description: Chloroflexi bacterium partial 16S ribosomal RNA
Rfam family: Bacterial small subunit ribosomal RNA
Source: RNAcentral
UGGGGAAUAUUGCACAAUGGGCGCAAGCCUGAUGCAGCCAUGCCGCGUGUAUGAAGAAGGCCUUCGGGUUGUAAAGUACUUUCAGUCGGGAGGAAGGUGUCAAGGUUAAUAACCUUGGCAAUUGACGUUACCGACAGAAGAAGCACCGGCUAACUCCGUGCCAGCAGCCGCGGUAAUACGGAGGGUGCAAGCGUUAAUCGGAAUUACUGGGCGUAAAGCGCACGCAGGCGGUUGAUUGAGUCAGAUGUGAAAUCCUCGGGCUCAACCUGGGAACUGCAUCUGAUACUGGCAAGCUUGAGUCUCGUAGAGGGGGGUAGAAUUCCAGGUGUAGCGGUGAAAUGCGUAGAGAUCUGGAGGAAUACCGGUGGCGAAGGCGGCCCCCUGGACGAAGACUGACGCUCAGGUGCGAAAGCGUGGGGAGCAAACAGG